CUAUGGGGAAUUAAGAUACAAGGAAGGUUCCUUUUCUGGGUCCUUCAGUUUCUCAUAAGGCACAUCUUUGUUGAAAAACACGGCUUGUUGGAGGAAGAAAAGGAACAAGAACUAGACACUUGGGGAGUAAGCUAAUCUGGAACCAUUUGGCUUUUGAAGUGUCUAGAACCAUUCUGGUUCUCUGCAACCUUGCGCUCCAGGGACCGGCAUUACCCAGGAGCUUCUGGGAGUAACCAGAAUAUCCAGACACUAAGUCUCAUUUUAACAUGACACCCGCUUCCCCAAGCCUCACCCCCAGGUCACCAACCUUUGCAUUUAAGCUGGAGAAGCACAGCCGUAAACCAUCUGUCCCUCAUUGCCCAGGUCAGGGGGAGGUUGCCAAACCAGGGACUCAGCGUUUCAAAGUUCAGGUGCAUACUCGAUGUCUUUGUAGAAAAGUGUUCUCUUGCACACAACUGAAUGUUGGUAACUGGCACAAGGAUCCUCUAUGAGAGCUAAGGCUCAGAAGUGACGAGACUUCCCUAAGGCUCCCCAGCAAGCUGGAGUCGGAGUUGGGUGCUCUGAAAACAAGGUACAGACAUUUAGCGCCAGACCAGGUGUGGGUAGUGUAAACUUCCAAAGUGGGCCUGGGUCCUAAAUGGGGUUAAAGAAGCUGCCCAGGUUAACUGAGGGGAGGGAGAAGGGCCCCUCUGCUUGAAAAAUCUGCAGCUUGGAAGGAAUGUGGCUUUGGUGCUGGGCACGCCCCCAUGGUUCUCACCCGUAACACAGAUGUAAUUAAGGGAGCAGCAGGUACAGAAUCAGCCAGGCUGUGGGUUGCUGGGAUGGCACCCAGGAGGGAAGCCAGGCCCUCAAGCAGGGGCCGGACAGCUAAGACCAGGCCAGAGAUGGUGGGAGGUAGAGACGGGCAGUGAGCAAGGGGUGAGCCCAUGGACGGUGGAGAGGGCUGAGGCCCCACAAACGGACAGACUGUCUUGUCUGGAUUGCAUUACAGUGCUUGUUACAGUUCAGUAGCCUGAACCCUCAGAACCUGGACAUUCAAGGCCAUGAACUCUGGUCUGGGGAAGGGGCAGUGAGCAUGCGCUCAGGUGGGGCUCCAGAGGAAGGCUCUGAGCCAGUUUUCCACAGCUUACAAGCAGCACCUGUCCUGGCCAGCACUGUCUCUGACGUUCAGAGUGACUGCCUGGAAGGUGCUUCCCUACAGACGUCUCCAUCUGAAAUCAACUCCCUUGUAUAUAAGGGAACAACUUUGACGCUUUGGUGACAGGUACUUCCUCUGUGCCUGCUGAUGGACUUAAUGGCCCAACUUGUCCUUGGCUUACCUGGGCAGAGGGACAGUCAACCCCAGAACCCAAUACAGCUGCCCUCACUGAGGGCCUCUAGACCUAAGGUGGGGGGUGCUCUGAGCACCAUCCUGUGACGGUGACACAAACACCUCCAUUUUCUGCACCAGAGUGAAAAAUAAAUGCUUUUAUUGCAGGGCUAACGAUGGAUAUUCACAAGGGUGUGAAAUUGUAAAUUGACAGGCAGGGAAGGCACACUGGGGGACAGAGGGUGGUGGUGG
Vicugna pacos (alpaca) is the source of this 1561-nucleotide non-coding RNA. NCBI's taxonomy places the organism in Eukaryota, Metazoa, Chordata, Mammalia, Artiodactyla, Camelidae. The record is from RefSeq and is a predicted model, not a curated record.